AAGGGAGAGAGAGGAAGAUAGGAGGAAGAUGCAAGACGAUCUAGAAAAUCAUAAGAUGAAACUAAGAGAAGACAUGAAACAAGAACUUCAUAAUAUGCUACUGCAGCAAAAAGAAGGAACUACGAAUAUGGUAAUAUUUGAGAAUAAUUUUUCAUCCUUGGUCGUCUUAAUAAAUUUAAGAUUAUGAUGAUGGCUAAUAUUUUACCUCAAUUUUUGUGUGCAUAGAGUAUCCCACAAAACAAUGACAAUAUACAAAUUACACCAACGACAAAAGAGGACGAUGAGAAUGGUGAGCAUGAAAAUGGAAAUGUGUUACAACAGGUAAUACUAUUAUUCCACUAUGUUUCAACUGAUAUUGAGCUAUGUACCUUGAACUUUUGGUAAAAUAGAUUAAACAAUUUACUGUUUUGUAGACUCAGCCUGGAAGUGUUGUCACCUUACAAGGAGAUGCACCUACUCGUACUAGUAAAAAUAUUACUAAUCUUAGCAAAAAUCUUUUCCAAGAAAGCACUGCAAAUGUGGCAGCAAAUAAGACAUAUAUCAGUCAACAACAGCUAUUGAAUAGAACAAGAAAUGGCAAA
Molecule: long non-coding RNA, 581 nt
Filed under: Sorghum bicolor (sorghum)
Lineage: Eukaryota; Viridiplantae; Streptophyta; Magnoliopsida; Poales; Poaceae
Description: long non-coding RNA (SBIC_LNC014489)
Source: RNAcentral